UAAGCUCCUCACUCUCGGGACCCGAGG
This 27-nucleotide non-coding RNA is filed under the name Rattus norvegicus (Norway rat). The record is from RNAcentral. Lineage: Eukaryota; Metazoa; Chordata; Mammalia; Rodentia; Muridae.